Molecule: long non-coding RNA, 686 nt
Filed under: Gossypium raimondii (Peruvian cotton)
Lineage: Eukaryota; Viridiplantae; Streptophyta; Magnoliopsida; Malvales; Malvaceae
Description: long non-coding RNA (GRAI_LNC005343)
Source: RNAcentral
UAAAAUCUUUGUCACUGUGAUCAUUAAUGGCCACCGCUGAACCUGAAGUUCCAGUCACUGAGCAGCAGCCGGCGGCAGCAGAGGAGCCAAAGCCGGCGGAAAAGCCUGUGAAGGAGAAGAGAUCCAAAGCUCCAAAGGAGAAAAAGCCUAAACAACCCAAAUCCACAGCACGUCCUCCUUAUUUUCAGGUACUCACUUUUUUAUUGUUUAACAUCGUUUGUGUGGGUUUUAAUUUUUUUUUUUUGGUUAGUUAAAUUAAGGGUGGAGUGUUGUGCAGAUGAUCAAGGAGGCGCUUUUGGCUUUGAAAGAGAAGAGUGGUUCAAGUCCGUACGCUAUAGCCAAAUACAUGGAAGAGAAGCACAAGGCGGUGCUUCCAGCGAAUUUCAGGAAAAUCUUAGGUCUUCAGCUUAAAACCUCAGCUGCUAGAGGCAAGCUGAUAAAGAUCAAGGCCUCUUACAAGCUCUCCGAAGCUGGCAAAAAAGAGAAAGCCCCUGUUACAAAAGCUAAGACAGAGAAGAAAGCUAAGCCAGCUUCGAAGCCGAAGAAAGCUGAGGCUACAAAGAAGCCAACAAAGAGAGUCGGGGCCAAGAAGAAAUCAACUCCAGCAAAGGCGAAGCAGCCUAAAUCUAUCAAGUCACCUGCGGCUAAAAAGGCCAAGAAGGCCGCUGCUUAGAACAAAUGUGUAG